AGACGCGUCCCACUAGGAUCAGAUGUGAAAACACAAGGCUGUCAAAGUUGAAUCCUCUGUCCAAAUACUGCCAUUGUUCUAAUGACUGCAUUAUUCUGAUUAAUAAUAGGAGAAACAAAUACAUAAAUCUGUGUUCUUAACUUCAAAAUACUAUAUAAUCCCGACUGCAGUACGUAGUUUUCAUUUCAAAAUGAAGCAGUUCGUGUUUUGUUUGAGUAUUGUUAUCUUCAUUACAUUCCUGGCUAACAGAGAAGUAAUGGCCCAAAGUAAUGAGGGAGAAAUACAAGGAACUCGUCCUAAGAUUGUUCCAUCAGCUAAUGUUGGUAUAAUGCAACAAACUCCUCCAUCGGAACAUCUCCUACAAUCAUCUCCUGUCAAUGUUGUUAUACCAGGUCCUAUUGUAAGUUUUAUUUAUUUUCUAUAAUUUAAAGGAAAAAUUGUGUCUUUCAAUAGUUAAAAUAUUAUUUAACUAGAAAACAUUCAUAUUCAUAAUUAGCCU
RNAcentral lists this long non-coding RNA (499 nucleotides) under Androctonus crassicauda. Lineage: Eukaryota; Metazoa; Arthropoda; Arachnida; Scorpiones; Buthidae. The record is from RNAcentral.